Molecule: ribosomal RNA, 604 nt
Filed under: Mucor fragilis
Lineage: Eukaryota; Fungi; Mucoromycota; Mucoromycetes; Mucorales; Mucoraceae
Description: eukaryotic LSU rRNA
Rfam family: 5.8S ribosomal RNA (bases 203-355)
Source: RNAcentral
CAGUAUUAUGGCUUGUCCAUCAUUAUCUAUUUACUGUGAACUGUAUUAUUACUUGACGCUUGAGGGAUGUUCCAUUGCUAUAAGGAUAGGCACUGGAAAUGUUAACCGAGUCAUAAUCAAGCUUAGGCUUGGUAUCCUAUUAUUAUUUACCAAAAGAAUUCAGAAUUAAUAUUGUAACAUAGACGUAAAAAAUCUAUAAAACAACUUUUAACAACGGAUCUCUUGGUUCUCGCAUCGAUGAAGAACGUAGCAAAGUGCGAUAACUAGUGUGAAUUGCAUAUUCAGUGAAUCAUCGAGUCUUUGAACGCAACUUGCGCUCAUUGGUAUUCCAAUGAGCACGCCUGUUUCAGUAUCAAAACAAACCCUCUAUCCAACUUUUGUUGAAUAGGAUGACUGAGAGUCUCUUGAUCUAUUCUGAUCUUGAACCUCUUGAAAUGUACAAAGGCCUGAUCUUGUUUGAAUGCCUGAACUUUUUUUUAAUAUAAAGAGAAGCUCUUGCGAUAAAACUGUGCUGGGGCCUCCCAAAUAACACAUCUUUAAAUUUGAUCUGAAAUCAGGUGGGAUUACCCGCUGAACUUAAGCAUAUCAAUAACCGGGAGGAAAA